AAUAGAUACCCAGGUAGUCCAUGCCGUAAACGUUGGGCGCUAGAUGUGGGGACCAUUCCACGGUUUCCGUGUCGCAGCUAACGCAUUAAGCGCCCCGCCUGGGGAGUACGGCCGCAAGGCUAAAACUCAAAGGAAUUGACGGGGGCCCGCACAAGCGGCGGAGCAUGCGGAUUAAUUCGAUGUAACGCGAAGAACCUUACCAAGGCUUGACAUAUACGAGAACGCUCUAGAAAUAGAGAACUCUUUGGACACUCGUAUACAGGUGGUGCAUGGUUGUCGUCAGCUCGUGUCGUGAGAUGUUGGGUUAAGUCCCGCAACGAGCGCAACCCUCGUUCUAUGUUGCCAGCGGUUCGGCCGGGUAACUCAUAGGAGACUGCCGGGGUCAACUCGGAGGAAGGUGGGGAUGACGUCAAAUCAUCAUGCCCCUUAUGUCUUGGGCUUCACGCAUGCUACAAUGGCCGGUACAAAGGGCUGCAAUACCGUAAGGUGGAGCGAAUCCCGAAAAAGCCGGUCUCAGUUCGGAUUGAGGUCUGCAACUCGUACC
RNAcentral lists this ribosomal RNA (544 nucleotides) under uncultured bacterium. Its description in RNAcentral is "bacterial SSU rRNA". It matches the Rfam family "Bacterial small subunit ribosomal RNA", at positions 777 to 1317 of the family's 1533-position model. The record is from RNAcentral.